Molecule: ribosomal RNA, 488 nt
Filed under: uncultured bacterium
Lineage: Bacteria
Description: bacterial SSU rRNA
Rfam family: Bacterial small subunit ribosomal RNA
Source: RNAcentral
CUGGCUCAGGAUGAACGCUGGCGGCGCGCUUAACACAUGCAAGUCGAACGGUUAAAGCACCUUCGGGUGUGGAUAAAGUGGCGAACGGCUGAGUAACACGUGGGCAACCUGCCCCCCGCACCGGGAUAGCCUCGGGAAACCGCGGGUAAUACCGGAUACUCCGCGAGCACCGCAUGGCGCUCGCGGGAAAGCACAUACGGCGGGGGAUGGGCCCGCGGCCUGUUAGCUCGUUGGCGGGGUAACGGCCCACCAAGGCGAUUAUGGGUAGCCGGGUUGAGAGACCGACCGGCCAGAUUGGGACUGAGACACGGCCCAGACUCCUACGGGAGGCAGCAGUGGGGAAUCUUGCACAAUGGGCGAAAGCCUGAUGCAGCCGACGCCGCGUGCGGGAAGAAGGCCCUCGGGUUGUAAACCGCUUUCAGCAGGGACGAGGCGCAAGUGACGGUACCUGCAGAAGAAGCCCCGGCUAACUACGUGCCAGCAGCUGC